Molecule: non-coding RNA, 75 nt
Organism: Streptomyces zinciresistens K42
Lineage: Bacteria; Bacillati; Actinomycetota; Actinomycetes; Kitasatosporales; Streptomycetaceae
Rfam family: ASpks TB sRNA
Source: Rfam
CUUGAUGGCACCCAGCCACAGCGGGCUGUCCGCCGACCGCUCCCUGCCGUACGUCGCCAGCAGCGCCUGCGCCUC